Molecule: ribosomal RNA, 472 nt
Filed under: uncultured bacterium
Lineage: Bacteria
Description: partial 16S ribosomal RNA
Rfam family: Bacterial small subunit ribosomal RNA
Source: RNAcentral
UCCAGACUCCUACGGGAGGCAGCAGUGGGGAAUAUUGCGCAAUGGGCGAAAGCCUGACGCAGCGACGCCGCGUGAGGGAUGAAGGUCUUCGGAUCGUAAACCUCUGUCAGCAGGGAAGAACGGUCACUGUGCUAAUCAGCAGUGAAUUGACGGUACCUGAAGAAUAAGCCACGGCUAACUACGUGCCAGCAGCCGCGGUAAUACGUAGGUGGCAAGCGUUGUCCGGAUUUACUGGGUGCAAAGGGCGUGUAGCCGGGCUGACAAGUCAGAUGUGAAAUUCCGGGGCUCAACCCCGGACCUGCAUUUGAAACUGUUGGUCUUGAGUAUCGGAGAGGCAGGCGGAAUUCCUAGUGUAGCGGUGAAAUGCGUAGAUAUUAGGAGGAACACCAGUGGCGAAGGCGGCCUGCUGGACGACAACUGACGGUGAGGCGCGAAAGCGUGGGUAGCGAACGGGAUUAGAUACCCGGGUAUU